This is a long non-coding RNA of Pseudopipra pipra, 9665 nucleotides long. RefSeq lists it as uncharacterized. The transcript has 12 exons. NCBI's taxonomy places the organism in Eukaryota, Metazoa, Chordata, Aves, Passeriformes, Pipridae. The record is from RefSeq and is a predicted model, not a curated record.
CAGUUAAGUGUUUUAUUCAGCUCAAAACAUUGUCUUUGAUUAGACUUACCACCUUCCCUUUUGCCCUUUUACAUUAUUUUGGCAGGCUCUGCAGGUGGAAAAGCUCCAUCUCCACUGCAGCUCCAUGAUGUGUGAAAUAGCCUCUCUGUGCGUGCCUGCUUGGAUGCCUUUGAGCUAAAGGAGAAAACUCCGGAGCCAGCCCUACAGUCCCAGUCCAGCUUUGGAUCUGCCUGUGCUCCGUUCUGGCCCCAUGACAGCCCUUUGUACAAGGUGCUUAAGACCACCUCUGAAAAGCUUCUUUGCACAAUUCUGAUGACAUCAGCAGUAAUAAACCCACUGAUGAAGGCAGUUUAACAACAGUUGUGCAACACUGAACCAUGCAAAGGAACCAGGGCAGCUGGAUCAGUUAAGAAAAAGUCAAUGGUGGUGCAGAUGGUGAUGACAGCUCAUACAGAAAUGCUGCUAGAUUUCUAACCAUUGCCUCGAAACACUGAUUUCAGACUGCAGGGCUGUAAUGACAACAUAAAUGAAGGAAUGUCUGCCCUUCUUCUGCUUCAGCACAGGGGGCAACACUGGUGAAAAAAAUUUGCUGGCAAGGUUGAAGAACUCAAAAUUAAACCUCUCUCCCAGCUCUGGAAUUCCCAUUGAUAGUAGUUGAUUCUGCAUAAAGAAUACAGAAACAGACUAAAAGUCAAUACCAAGUGACCAUGCUCAUUAAAGCACUGAAGAUUUGAACAGCAUUAAGCAGAAUUUGCACCUCGUUUUUGUUUAGAAGUCACACAAAAACGGAGUUUAUUCAGUUCUUCACUUCAAGUUUCGAUGGCUGUAAGGAGUUGCUUCCAAAUGAUGUUGGUGUCACACUGGAAUCAGGUGCUCGCAGCUCAAGCACCACACACAGCUCUUACCCACAGGGCAUCACUGGCUUCCUCCACUUCCAAAGGUUAAAGUCACUAGAUGAAAACCGUUGUGUAUUUGGGGGGCACUUGUUCUCCAAAGAUAACUGACAGAGGAAAGGAAAACAAAAAAGUACAGCAUCGUGGAAGCAGCAGAAACCAACUCACUGGAGGUGGCAGAUGGACAGAACACUGGUAGUUAUGGCUAAUAUUUAGUCAUUCUCAAUAAGAUCUGUCCCAGCGUGGGGAGAAGCUGGAAAAUACCCGAGUGCUCUCUGUGGUUUCCUCAGCAGAGGCCUCUGCUGAGCAAAGAGUAACUGCCUGAGACAAGCUCAAAAGCAGGCUGAGCAUUUCACCUUUACAUACCCUUCUAAGGACCAUACACUGCUCCUCUUACAGGCAAUGUUGAGAGGAAAGGAAAUUCCAAAGGGAGAGACAAGUGCAAAUAGAUCUGUCUUAUUUCUAAGGAAAGCAAAAAUCAAGAGCCUUAUGAAAUAAGAAUGUUCACACGUGGUUUGCAAUUAGAGAGUAUUUUAUAUAUUUUGCCAUAAUUUUGUUUAUUAAAGAUUUAAAAGUCAUUUGAGCAGUUGUAUUAGAGGGACUGUGAUUUGCCAAGAGAUUUAAGGUAAACCUUUUGGAUAAUUUCAAAUUGUUUUCUGUCUUUGUUUUUCUGAAUUUGUCAUGCUGAAACUGAACGAAUUUAUUGAUUUAUCAGAAGUGUUUUAUUCUUCAUUCUACAUCUGUAGAGACCUAAACUAUAAACCAGGAAAGCAGUAUAAAAUUGUAUUUGUAAAUAUUUUAGAGAAGACUGCUGUUCUCUGGAACUUUAUGCUGUUUUCUGCUAUUGAGUGCUUUGCAGAAGCUCAUUUGGGAAAUGUAUUCUUUGAUUUUGCUAAUCAAUUUAUCAACAUUUGAAAGACACACAGCUAUUGUGAAGAGCAGUUCUUUCAAAUAUCCAUUUGACUUUGUUGGUGAUGCUUGCUUUAUUCAACUCUGCUCCAGGCAAUUUAAAAUGUACCACUAUAUAAUAAGCAUGGGAAGGUUAGCAUUCACAUUUUAGGGAUAAAACAUUUUGACAGUUCUAGUCUACAUUUGCAUUUAAAAAUCUUAAUGCCUUUGAUUAGACCCUAUGUUUAUCAUAGGAUCUCUUGUAGGCAUUAUUACUGUGAGGUUGUUACCUUUCAGGAUUUGUUCUGGACCAUGUGUUUGUGGGGAAGCACAGAAGCCUGCUCGUUCCACAGACACAUUGAUUUCUGGUUCAUGGUAUGUCUCAUUUUCUGUAAUUUCUGAUGGAGCUCUACUGCUGAGUCAUUUGUGUUUGUUUCUGAGAUUAUUUUUUGUGUGUGCAGAGUUAGGCAGGUACGUAUACAUAGUUCUGUCUAACAUGGUUGCUAUGUUUUUUCACAAGUCUUCAAAUUCUCAAUUUUUGGUCCACAGCAGAAUCCCCAAGGGGACAGAGUCAGGCAUUGUCUGGAGAGAGACAAGAGAUCCUGCCAUGAUAGCCAUUAUCUUUCUCACCAGUGAACAGGUGAUGCUUAAACACAGCAUGUGCACAGACAAUGGCCAGCAUUCUGAGCUCCUGAAAAUGAUCACUGGCACAGGCUGAUGUCUGAAGGACUGGUCACUAAAACUAUCAGUAUUAAUUGCUCCCCUUUUAUUUUAUCCGUCAUCUUUCUGCAUUAGUGACUUUCAGUAGGGAUUCCAGUAACCUGAUAUAACAUCUGCAACACUGCUAUCACCAAGAAAACAUUCAUUCAGAUAAUAAGGCUGUCUCAAGAUACACUGUCUCAAGAGACCUGUGUGUAAAUUAGACCAAGCAAUAGAAAAAACCCUCAAAAACUAACAAACACACUGGUCAAAUACUGCAGACUUUUCAGAAAAGCAGGAAUUAAGCAAAAUAACAUUGUAGGUUUUACAGGAAAAUGUGUUCGAGCUGAAGGUUUUCUCCCUGAUCUUUUAGCCAAUCUCUAGAGACUUCGUGCCAUUAUUAUUAGAUUUACCUUGGGAAGGACAUGGACUCAGGUGGUACCAGAAAUCUUGUGCAGUGAAUUCUCCAGGAGAUCCUUCCUGCAUUAGGCCCCGUUUUUCUAUCUGCAAAGCCCUGAAAACUCAAAUGCCCUCAUAAGCUGCUGUGAACUAUCCUUUUCCAUACUUUCCUUCGCAUUCAGGAGCUGUUUCCUUCUGACUCAGCAUUAAAUAGCAAAGAAGGGAAGGACUUGGAAUUCAGAGAUAGGAUGUGUACAAAGUCAUGGUUCUGAUUGUGGAGGGAACCACUAGUAAAUCCUUUCUGUGGUCCCAGAUUGGUUCUUCCAUUGAAAAACAUCAAAAUCUGAAUUAUACAGAGGUUAUGUAGCACUAUGAGUAAGUACUUUGGCCUUUCAUGUCUUAUUAUGUUGUUAAUUAGUUAACGUUUGUAAAGCACUUCGAAGAUGAAAAGCCCUAUAUAAGUUGUAAGUGUUAUUAUCUCUAGAGACCUAGGUUCAAUUCAAAGGUGCUUAAUUACAUAUGCCAUAAAUUAGACUUAAUGAGUUGUGGAAUCAUAUGUUUUAUGCAAUGCAUGCAGGUUUCUCAGAUCUGUGUCUUGUGGUCUGUUGCAGUACUUCUUUAGGUAUUCAAAGCUGUUAAGAAAAUUACACAAAAAUAGGGGAGAUAAUUUCUAAAAAUAAUUGAGUUGCAUUUCAGCACUAUUCAGGACUUGGUGAAGCAAACUGCCAGGAGCUUUGCUCUGCUGUAUCUAGGGAUUUUCCAGUAACCGACUUCAAAUUGCUGAAGGUAACAGUUUUGGGGGUUUUUUAACUGUGGUAUAGACAAAAUUCUAAUUCAUACUUCUGUAUUUUGACAUAGCAAGAGGGUGCUGAGAGGUAUUGGUAUGGGUGCUGCCCUUCCAGUAACACCCUGAAAUGUCCCACCAGGGGACCUCUCGGUGUUGGGUUAUGUUCACAAGCACAAGAAGAGAAGUUCCCAUCUCUGGAGAUACUAUCAUGUAAUUUCCAACAAGCCAUUACAAGUGGGUAAUGUGCAAAAAGAGGAAGUCACAUUUAUAGGAAAAUGUGGUUUCAUUGGCUUUGCAGAGCUGAGACUUUCCAUGUUAUGUAACUUAACAUAUUUCGUGGCCAGAAAGCUACAGACUUUGCUCCCCUGCAGCCCCAGCACCAGGGCAGCUGUCCAGCGGUGAGCACAGGCGAGUUCAGAGACACAGAAAACCAGCAGGAUCAUCCACCUGUUCUAAAGUGGCUCCCACAUGUUCCUGCAGCAGAAUACAUCCAUUUUACCUUGAGCCUUUCACGGGCAUAUAGAGAGAGGCAGGAUUUAUCCUGCUUAUAAAUAUGUUAGGAGUGAUUGUGUUCAUUAGUACAACCUAAGUAGAUUGGAAAAACUAAUUAAUAGCAAUUUACUAUGAGCAUCUCUAACAGACUUACUUCAAAGUAUUUAUCCUGAAGUGGAAGUUAUUUGAUUUGGUUAAUGUUUUAUUGUAAGCAUAUGCAGACUGUCUUCCAGGGGAAAAUGUAUUUUUGAGUACUCCAGACAAGUGAAACUGGUGAGCCCGCAGUCCAGAGAAAGCAUCUGUAACCGCAGCCAAAAGAGGAACGAGGUUUCCGACGUUCUUUCAAGACAUGUGUUUGAAGCAUGGGUUCCCAUCACUUUCAGAGUCACUUGCAGGCCUUUUUCUUUAUAUAGAUUUAGACAAGUCGAUGUGGGCCUAGAUUCAGCGUGAUGAAUGCCUUUGUGGUUUCCCCCUCGUCUGUUUUCCCCUGGGCUAUUUAAUCACUUAUUUCGAACAAGAGUAUGUUCUCAAGAAACUUGAAAUGGGACAAAGCAUAGUUUCUGACAGUGUUUAUCACUCAUUUUUCAUAUUUCUAAGAAAUGGAUCUAGUCUUACACCUUAUUUACUGGGGCACAUCGCCUUCAAAAACAAGAUAUAGUUUUACUGAAUACUUUUCAUAGACUCUAAUAAAUAGGAACUUCACAUGAAUGCUGAUUUGAGCUCCACACCAUGGUUAAAACAUUUAAAUAGUAUAGCAAACUUAUCAACAAACCUUUCCUUCCCCACCCUUCCCCCUUCCCUUUUUACAGUGAACAGAUUUUUAUCUGACUAGCACAUGACUUGGGGAUUUUUACAAGCACAUUUAGGAACUUGUCAAUUAUUUGAAAACUUGAGCCUGAAAAUAAAACACCCCCCCCAACUUAAAAGUCCAGUAUUUUGUAUAGUGUGUACAAAAUGGGUAAAAUUUUGACUUGCUGAAGUACCUACAGGGUUCUGUUCUCUGACCUAAUUAUCACUACUUAACUAGGAGUUUGAUUCCUAUUUUUAAUACCCCAAGACACCACACAUACUGGUGUAACUCAUUGAGGUACCAAAUCAGUGGACCUAUAAGACACUCUUCAUUUCUAAACUCCUGUAGUCUUUUGUCAAAAAAAGAAUAUUCAUGUUGUUUUUAUUUCAUCUUGGCAUUUUAAGUCUCCUUUCCUCCUCUGCUUCCAAGAUGUUAGUGACAUACUCUGGCAGUGAUAUCACUGUUGCUCAAACAUCAGUGAAGAAGCUCUCUGAGCAAGUGAGACAGUUGUGAGCUCAAGCAGCUGCACUGAACUGCGUGUUCAGAGAUGUGAGGCAGCAGGAACGACUGUGAGAGCGCUUUUAUGCAGCCAGGCCUCCAACUCCGACCAAGUGCUGAUGGCUCAUAAGGGUGCUCUUUGGGAAAACAAUUCACGGGCUACAAAAAGUGUGUAUGGAGAAACAGCUUGGUAAAUUAAUAUCCAGGAAAGAACUUCUGGUCACUCAGUCAUUAUGUCUGCUGACCCAGUUAGGACUUCUACAAAAACAGUUGACAUCCCUUUGGCUGUGACUUCCCUGGUCAUUUUCCUGUUUUAAGUCCCUAAUUUAACAAAGGACUGAUCUCUCUCUCUCUGAGAGUCUUUGACUGUGGAAAAAUUGCCCAUGAGGUCUGGAAGACUUCUGGAUCAUUAUUGCCACCGACUUCCUCUCUCUGUGAGCAAAGAGUUAUCAGAGGUCAGCUGCAGAGUGGAAAGUGUGGCAGUAAAUUGUGAGGCAAACAGGGAAGCAAAUGACCACUAUCUCCCAGUUUCACAAGAAAGAAGUCAGAAAUACCAUAACCACUGAAAGGCAUCUUGAAUAAAGAAACACUUCGGUGGACCCUGUGUUCAGGAAACCCCAAGUCCUGCUGAAUUGGUUUGGAUUAAGAGAGAGGAAAAGGAGAGGACUCUUGGUAAAAUAUGAGGUAUAGACAGACAUACCCUAGUCUUGUGGCACCCAUGAAUAGAUCCAGUGAGCCUGUGCAGCUGUGUUUUGAUCAGCAGAGAAGUUUCCUGGCAUCCGAGAACUGAAAUCACCUUUUGGGUCAUCACACCUCACUGGAGGUUUCCCUGGCUUAAUGAGCAGCUCUGAAACCAGAGAAAGUACCAGACGAUGGAGGGCAUUGUACAUUCUUAUAUUUGAAAGCCACUCCAUAGCAUCCACAAGAGGAUUCUUGGCACCUGCCUAGUUAAACUGAAUGUCCAAUGUUAUCUCUCCAGGCAAGUAAGAUUCUGGCAAUCACUGUAGUCCUAUUUCACUCGUUCUCAGUCUUUUUGACACCAACACAUUAAUUCUCCCAAGCUCCUUUGGCAGCUGUAAGGAGUUCUCUCUUUUUUUUUUUUAAUAUGAUUGAUAAUAUUGAGUAUUUCUUUUAACCUUUUACUGCCAUUGCUGGGCUAGGUGAUAGUUCCUAUGCUCCGAUGUUAAUCUCCACUACACAGUAGCACAUCUUCUGAUCACCUACUCAUCAUGGAGCUCAUUUGCAAAAUGCUGCUGCUUAAUUUACAAAGUGUAAGAAGCUCCACCUGGAAUUAGCCCUACAACGUGUCAUUCUCCCAAUACUCCCACUGUCAAAGGUCACAUAAUGCAAAUUGCUUUAUGCAGAAACUCCUUCUAGUUUAACACAAGGAAUGGCAACCCUUGGACAAAAUGUGACUAUAUAGUUUCAUAUGAUGCACUGGAAAGAAAUACAUCCUAGAAAGGGUGCAAAUAAUGCAGCUUCUCUGGUUCAAUGCAGGAUAUGACCCAACUGAAAUAUACUGGUAAAAAAUGUCAUCAUUUUCUUCACUUCCAAAUUCUCAGGGAAAAAAAAGAAAAGGAAAAAAAGGUUGUCUGAGGAGACACAAAUAUAUAAAAACAAAAAGACCUCCCAGGCUGACUUGAAAUAUGUUCAAAUUACACAUCUACUCUCUGCUCCCUAGAACCCAGUAAAUAUUUCUUUGGCCCUACAAAGUGUUUUAGUCUGAACCCAGGAAACCUCAGACUGACCUUGAAAAUAAGAUUCCUCAAUUUUCAAAGUAAAUGUCUUGGCCACAUUACUGGAGGAGUUGCACUUCUCUGAUUGAACGUAUAAAACUUGUGUCUUUUGGCAAAUGGGGUAGAUUAUACUGUGGGGAACUGGUUGUUUUCCCAAUUAACUGACCAUAGGCACUUUCAGACUCUCUUUCUCAACUUUUACACCUCAGUACAAUGCUGGUGGCAAGGUUAAAAUAUCUGUAUUGGGCCAUAAGGGGCAGGGUUAAGCCUGUGAAAAGCAGUAGAGUGGAGAUACACUGACCUACCUUGCUAAGCAUCCAGAGCAUAUCUCCAGAGAUUUUAUUCUGUCUUCUCCUCAGGUUGUACUGGAUGGCUUAACAGCUUUUGAUGCUGUAGCAUCCUUCCAGCUUAGCUUGAAUCCAGUUUGAGAUUUUAGAUUGUCUGGAUUUGAUUAGCUUUAUCAGUUUAUUUUCUUCUGAUGUUUUUCUCUUCUGCCAGCUGCAUUAACUCUUCUUUCACCCAAGACUCACUCCAUGGUGGGUGUAAUGAAAAUACUCUUUUGCAACAGUCUUUGACAUCAUCUCCUGACAACAUCUGACUUAUAUUCAGGUAUAAACUUCCCAGGUCUGUUUAUCAGUUCUCUGUGGAAAGGUAGAAGUGGAAGUUCCACAAGGAGUGGAGGAUAAAAAAGGUCUCAAAUUCCUCUUCUGAUGACUGGUCAAUGUCUCUCAACUGACGCUGAAAAUCACUGUGAUCGUAGCCUUCCUUUUAAUAUCAGAGCUGCUUUCAGGACCUCAGACAUAACUGCCUUCUGUCCAACAGUCUCGUUUAAAACAGACCAAAAUAAUAAAGAUGGACACUUUGAUCGAGAUCUGCCAUAUUAAUUGAAUUAAAGCUGGCUUUAAUUCUAACAAAAAAGCAAAUGCAGUAUUGAGUGCUAAAUAAAAUAAGGUGAUGCUUUUUCAAAAUGAGCCUUUCCGUUUUUACUUCAGCUUGAGUUCCUCACUUGAGGCCAACCAUAAGUGUCGGAAUGCUGUCAGCUAGUGUUUCAUGGAGGCUUCUGGUCCAGGGCACCAGUGCAGACAUCCAGCUGCCCAAGCUGUGGCCCUUGCACCCUCUCCAUGUCCUGCUGGCUCCUGUGUGUGCUCAGGGUUUCAUUAGGUUGCAAGUUGUAGCCACGUGGUGCAGAUUUAAGAGCUCCACAGGGCUCAGGUAAUAUCCAUACAUCUGAGAAGGACAAUACUGCUCUCCAAACAGAAUGAACCUUUGAACUUUGUUAGGGUUUUGAUAUGACAUUAAGCCUCAGAUUUAUAAAACCAAACCAGAACAAAAGCGUACUUGCUUUCAUUCUGUGUUCUGAUUUUGCACUAAAUUGUCAGCAAAGCAGACCUUUUACCUAUAAACAGAUGGCACACAAUUCUAUGGGAUUUUCCCACAUUUGAUGAACACACAUCAAGUCCAUUUACAUGAGCAUGGAAAAUAUUAAAAUGACUACCAGGUCUGCAUAGUGUAAGACACCUGGAGCACAUUGCUGCCAGCAAGCUUCUGAGGUGGGGAUAUUCUGGCACACAGUCACAGUUCUGGGGACUGGGCCAUUUUUGACUCAGGUUAUUGCAUCUUUUGACACCUAAAGACAUGUUGACCUCUGACCCAGAAACAUCUGCAACGUCAAACUAUAAAAUCGGGAAUGGAAAUGUAGCCUUUUUUCCCCCCUUACUGUUAUUUUUAUUUUCUAUUGAAAAGGGUUUUAAAAGGCCUAUGAAAUGUAAAAUUGCUUUUUUGCCAUAGUUGCAAAACUCAUUUCAAUUUUUAUCUGAGAUGCACUUGUAGAAAAUUUCCAGAGUUGAAAAGCUAAUACAACAACCCCACUCUGAGGACCAGAGUCCAAAGCCCUGAGCACCGCCCAGCCUUCAUCUCUGGGGGCCUGAGGAAAAUGGGAGGGGUCUGUCACAGUGACCAGCCUAGUCCACACUCCCUCCAUUCACCCCUGCUUUUCUCCAACAGUUUAUAUUGCCUGCAAAGUUCUUGCAUAUUCUGACUUUCCUUCCUAAAGUAGCUCUGGCUGAUUUUAACUCACCAAGCCCUAACUUUUGCUUCUUCUGUGCAGGCAAAAGUGAUAAGUGAUAAGGCAAAAGCAUCACUGCUGCUCCUCUGACAUGGCCCAUCCUGGGAAUACCAGCCCUGCUGGUGUCUGCACCAGUGACUGUAGUUUCUUAUACUGUAUACUAAUGCCAACUGAAGUCUUCCUUUCACCUUUUUCAUUGCUCCGGCAACUUAUGUGCACAGAUUUUAUUUUAAUUAAUUUUACCUAAUAACUUCCGCAUGAGAAAACUGAGCUGAGACCUUUGUGUGUGUCAGUGUUCCCUCCUGUAGAAUGAAUUUGUGUGGUUUGUAGUAAAAUGUGACUAUCUUUGCAUGAAUGGCACUAUAGAAAUCCCCAGAAUUAUUGUAGUCAAUUUUUUGUUUCAUUUAACAUGAGAGGU